UAAAGAAUGGAUGUUAAAUUCUGUAGGGAGACAUCAUAUUGGUCUCUACUGGAGCACCCACCGAAAGGAAUGGAGAUGGGUAUCGUGAUCGCAGAAAAGAGCGACCGGUGGGAGCCUGAUGUAAUUCAGCGACUUGAAAAUCUUGACAAUCAGAAAGAAAAUGGAUCUGAGGGUAAGGUUGCCGUUCAUGUUCUUCCAAACUCUGGGCACUGGGUUCAUGUGGACAAUCCAAAGGGUCUUCUUGAGAUUGUGGCGCCUAAGAUCGCUUCUCUUCCAGCGUAAGUGCAUAGUCGUAGCUUUUGUUUUAAGGGAUUCAUUAUGAAAGGAGUAUUAUGAUUAUGGUCUUUAUCCCCUAUUGUAAUAAAAUACAAUGACAAUGUUGAUUAAUUGACACAUAUCAUGAUUCAUGAAUAAUCUAAUUUUUUGAUAAAAUAUUUAUCGGCAUUUUAGCUUGUUGCAUAUAGGAAUAUAUAGCCCG
Molecule: unclassified non-coding RNA, 478 nt
Filed under: Hevea brasiliensis (rubber tree)
Lineage: Eukaryota; Viridiplantae; Streptophyta; Magnoliopsida; Malpighiales; Euphorbiaceae
Source: RNAcentral